GAGCUUAACACAUGCAAGUCGAGCGAUGAAACUACUUCGGUAGUGAAUUAGCGGCGAACGGGUGAGGAACACGUGAGGAAUCUGCCUUCUACACUGGGAUAACUCCGGGAAACCGGGGCUAAUACCGGAUAUGAAACUUGGUGGCAUCACCGAGUUUGGAAAGUUUUUCGGUAGAAGAUGACCUCGCGGCCUAUCAGCUUGUUGGUGAGGUAAUGGCUCACCAAGGCGACGACGGGUAGCCGGCCUGAGAGGGCGACCGGCCACACUGGGACUGAGACACGGCCCAGACUCCUACGGGAGGCAGCAGUGGGGAAUAUUGGGCAAUGGAGGAAACUCUGACCCAGCGACGCCGCGUGCGGGAUGAAGGCCUUCGGGUUGUAAACCGCUUUCAGUAGGGAAGAAGCGAAAGUGACGGUACCUACAGAAGAAGCACCGGCUAACUAUGUGCCAGCAGCCGCGGUAAUACAUAGGGUGCAAGCGUUGUCCGGAAUUAUUGGGCGUAAAGAGCUCGUAGGUGGUUCGUUACGUCGGAUGUGAAAAUCUGGGGCUCAACCCCAGACCUGCAUCCGAUACGGGCGAGCUAGAGUUUGGUAGGGGAGACUGGAAUUCCUGGUGUAGCGGUGGAAUGCGCAGAUAUCAGGAGGAACACCAAUGGCGAAGGCAGGUCUCUGGGCCAAUACUGACACUGAGGAGCGAAAGCGUGGGGAGCGAACAGGGUUAGAUACCCUGGUAGUCCACGCCG
Molecule: ribosomal RNA, 742 nt
Filed under: uncultured Actinomycetes bacterium
Lineage: Bacteria; Bacillati; Actinomycetota; Actinomycetes
Description: bacterial SSU rRNA
Rfam family: Bacterial small subunit ribosomal RNA
Source: RNAcentral